AGCGAACGCUGGCGGCAUGCCUAACACAUGCAAGUCGCACGGGGGGGCUUCGGCCUCCCAGUGGCGGACGGGUGAGGAACGCGUAGGGACCUGUCGAGGGGUGGGGGAUAACCGCGGGAAACUGCGGCUAAUACCGCAUGACGCCGCGGCGUGACAGCCGGGGCCAAAGGCGAAAGCCGCCCGCCGAGGGGCCUGCGUCCGAUUAGCUGGUUGGCGGGGUAGCGGCCCACCAAGGCGUCGAUCGGUAGCUGGUCUGAGAGGGUGAUCAGCCACACCGGGACUGAGACACGGCCCGGACUCCUACGGGAGGCAGCAGUGGGGAAUAUUGGACAAUGGGCGCAAGCCUGAUCCAGCAAUGCCGCGUGAGUGAAGAAGGUCUUCGGAUUGUAAAGCUCUUUCGGCGGGGACGAUGGUGACGGUACCCGCAGAAGAAGCCCCGGCUAACUUCGUG
RNAcentral lists this ribosomal RNA (451 nucleotides) under uncultured bacterium. RNAcentral describes it as "partial 16S ribosomal RNA". It matches the Rfam family "Bacterial small subunit ribosomal RNA", at positions 28 to 507 of the family's 1533-position model. The record is from RNAcentral.